UGGGGAAUUUUGGACAAUGGGGGCAACCCUGAUCCAGCAACGCCGCGUGAAUGAAGAAGGCCUUAGGGUUGUAAAGUUCUUUUAUCUGAGAGCAAAUGCUAUGCAUGAAUAUUGCAUGGAGCUGAGAGUAUCAGAGGAAUAAGCACCGGCUAACUACGUGCCAGCAGCCGCGGUAAUACGUAGGGUGCGAGCGUUAAUCGGAAUUACUGGGCGUAAAGGGUGAGUAGGCGGAUAUAUAAGUUAGAUGUGAAAUUCCCGAGCUUAACUUGGGGUGUGCAUUUAAGACUGUAUGUCUAGAGUUUGUCAGAGGGUGGUAGAAUUCCAAGUGUAGCAGUGAAAUGCGUAGAGAUUUGGAGGAAUACCGGUGGCGAAGGCGGCCACCUGGGAUAGAACUGACGCUGAGUCACGAAAGCGUGGGUAGCAAACAGGAUUAGAUACCCCGGUAGUCC
This 449-nucleotide ribosomal RNA is filed under the name uncultured bacterium. RNAcentral's name for it is "bacterial SSU rRNA". It matches the Rfam family "Bacterial small subunit ribosomal RNA", at positions 355 to 796 of the family's 1533-position model. The record is from RNAcentral.